CCAAUAGCAUAUAUUAAAGUUGUUGCGGUUAAAACGCCCGUAGUUGGAUCAGCGGAUUUGGAGAACGGUCUGCCGAUGGGCUGUACUGUUCUCCUGUCCUAUCUUCUCUAGUUCACUCUAGGUGCUCUUCACUGAGUGUCUAGAGUGGCUGGAACUUUUACUUUGAAAAAAUUAGAGUGCUCAAAGCAGGCGUAUCAGCCUGAAUAGUGGUGCAUGGAAUAAUGGAAUAGGACCUCAGUUCUAUUUUGUUGGUUUUCGGAGCAUGAGGUAAUGAUUAAGAGGGACAGACGGGGGCAUUCGUAUUGCGACGUUAGAGGUGAAAUUCUUGGAUCGUCGCAAGACGAACUACUGCGAAAGCAUUUGCCAAGAAUGUUUUCAUUAAUCAAGGACGAUAGUUAGAGGUUCGAAGGCGAUCAGAUACCGCCCUAGUUCUAACCGUAAACGAUGUCAACCAGCGAUCCGCAGGAGUUAUUCAUGACUCUGCGGGCAGCUUCCGGGAAACCAAAGUUUUUGGAUUCCGGGGGGAGUAUGGUUGCAAAGCUGAAACUUAAAGGAAUUGACGGAAGGGCACCACCAGGAGUGGAGCCUGCGGCUUAAUUUGACUCAACGCGGGGAAACUCACCCGGCCCGGACACCGUAAGGAUUGACAGAUUGAGAGCUCUUUCUUGAUUCGUUGGGUGGUGGUGCAUGGC
This 692-nucleotide ribosomal RNA is filed under the name uncultured eukaryote. Its description in RNAcentral is "SSU rRNA". It matches the Rfam family "Eukaryotic small subunit ribosomal RNA", at positions 591 to 1288 of the family's 1831-position model. The record is from RNAcentral.